RNAcentral lists this transfer RNA (73 nucleotides) under Bos taurus (domestic cattle). It matches the Rfam family "tRNA". Rfam says of the family: Transfer RNA (tRNA) molecules are approximately 80 nucleotides in length. Their secondary structure includes four short double-helical elements and three loops (D, anti-codon, and T loops). The record is from Rfam by way of RNAcentral. RNAcentral also lists the same sequence under 2 other names. Lineage: Eukaryota; Metazoa; Chordata; Mammalia; Artiodactyla; Bovidae.
UCCCUGGUGGUCCAGUGAUUAAGACUCUGUGCUGCCAAUACAGGGAGUAUGGGUUCGACCCCUCUUUGGGGAA